Molecule: RNA transcript, 1584 nt
Organism: Capsicum annuum
Lineage: Eukaryota; Viridiplantae; Streptophyta; Magnoliopsida; Solanales; Solanaceae
Gene name: monothiol glutaredoxin-S6
Exons: 6
Source: RefSeq, a predicted model, not a curated record
UUCAUCCAAACGAAAGAUCACUUAAAAGUAAAAAAAAAGUAAAAUUUGAGAAGGCCCAAAAGUAAAUCUUCCGUUGUUGUCUUUACAGUGAAAAUGACAGUCAACUCCGUCGUGAUCCAGAUCAAACCGGCGGCUCGUUUAACCAAAAUAGAAAACCGGUUCUUCAGUCAAUAUCUUCCUACUAAACCCGGUUUCCGGUUCCCCACUCCCAAAUCACGUGAUCUCCCAAAAAUCCCCGCCGUUGAACAGUUUGCCACCGAGAUCCACGGUCAGAAACCCCUGUUGGCCCUUUUGUCCAAAACUCAACAGUUUUUUGGGAGCACAACUGUUGGUGAAAUAGAAAGGGAGAAAAUGGAGGUCAAUGGUUGUUUCAAGCGCAAUCUUCUUCUGAUGCUUACUGUAUUUGGAUUUAUGGCGAUAGUGAAAGGUCCAGCAGAAGCCCUAGCUUCUAGUUCUCCUUCUGCUUUUGUUCAAAAUGUCAUCUACUCUAACAAGAUCGCUAUCUUUUCCAAAUCCUAUUGCCCGUACUGCAAGCGUGCCAAACGCAUCUUCAAUGAACUUCAAGAACAACCAUUUGUGGUGGAGCUUGAUCUUCGAGAUGACGGCGGCCGUAUUCAAGAGGUCCUUCUAGAUCUGGUGGGUCGCAGCACAGUCCCACAAGUAUUUGUGAAUGGGAAGCAUAUUGGUGGUUCAGAUGAUCUCCAAAAUGCUGUCAAGAGUGGGCAUUUGCAAAGUCUUCUCAAGAAAGAGUGAAGUACUGAAGUCAAUAGAUUAAAGCAUCUUCCUGAAAUCCUGAAGCUGCAAUGCACUCAUGUAGAGCUUAGUUAAGUUUGGCUCUGCAGAUCCAUUCCCAUCUCAAUAGAAUGAUUUGGUAAGGGCAGAUUAUGUCCUAUGAUCGAUUGAAGGUGUCAUGCAGUCAACUCAAAUAUGCAUGUUUCACUAAGUAAACAAAUUGGCGGAGGAGAAAUUGUUAUUCUACUCUCACGGUGAGCUUACCAGGCUGCAUUAGGAUCAUCAUCUGGUUUACACAUUGGAGGUUUGUUUUGUUGUCUUUGAUCGUAGCAAUCAUUUGUGUCUGAUUUGUGGUAGAUGGCAACACCAACUGAGUUUAAUUUGUCCUUCUUUAUGGUUACAAGCUCCCAGCACAUGGCCACCGUCAAGUUAGACAUUUCUGAUAAUAGAGAGCCGAGCAAGGGAAAGGGAAAGGAAAAGGAAAAGGAAAAAAACACGUCAAUUUGAAUCUAUUGGCAUUUAGGGAAAGAGAUGAUUAGGAUCUUACGCUUCCAUAUCUCGACAUCUUCUUCAAGAGUUUGGUAGACGGGAGUUGCAGACCAGGCAAAGUAACCUCCGGGGCGAAGGACGCGAUUCAGUUCCAGAAGAAGAGCACCACCUUCAUUGCAAAUUUAAACUUUAAUUCAUAGACACAGCUCAAAAGCAAAGUCCAAAUGAGGACUUGAAUUUUCAGAUAGGUCUAAAUAUAUGAUGUCUAGGAAAUACCUUGCUCAUGCCAAGGGACUCUGCAGCGUGCACAAUGCACAAGAUCAAAAACUCCACUUGGAAAUGGCAAUCUUUGAGUACCCAUCA